AUACGGAGGGUGCGAGCGUUAAUCGGAAUUACUGGGCGUAAAGCGCGCGUAGGCGGCCAAGUCAGUCGGAUGUGAAAGCCCCGGGCUCAACCUGGGAACUGCAUUCGAUACUGGCAGACUAGAGUAUAGUAGAGGCAAGUGGAAUUCCGGGUGUAGCGGUGAAAUGCGUAGAUAUCCGGAGGAACAUCAGUGGCGAAGGCGACUUGCUGGACUAAUACUGACGCUGAGGAGCGAAAGCGUGGGGAGCAAACGGGAUUAGAAACCCCAGUAGUCC
Molecule: ribosomal RNA, 274 nt
Filed under: uncultured bacterium
Lineage: Bacteria
Description: partial 16S ribosomal RNA
Rfam family: Bacterial small subunit ribosomal RNA
Source: RNAcentral